UAGUCAUAUGCUUGUCUUAAAGAUUAAGCCAUGCAUGUCUCAGUAUAAGCUUUUUUACUGCAAAACUGCGAAUGGCUCAUUAAAACAGUUAUAGUUUCCUUGACGGCCAAUUAUUACUUGGAUACCUAUGGUAAUUCUAGAGCUAAUACAUGCUUAAAGACCCAACUUCUCGGAAGGGUUGUGCUUAUUAGAUACUGAACCAACCCGGGUCCCCCGGUUUUGAGUUGAUUCAUAGUAUUCCAGCGAAUCGUCCUCGUUAGACGAUGAGUCUUUCAAGUUUCUGACCUAUCAGCUUCCGACGGUAGGGUAUUGGCCUACCGUGGCAUUGACGGGUAACGGAGAAUUAGGGUUCGGUUCCGGAGAGGGAGCCUGAGAAACGGCUACCACAUCUAAGGAAGGCAGCAGGCGCGUAAAUUACCCAAUCCUGACACAGGGAGGUAGUGACAAGAAAUACCAAUAUAAGGCUUAUAUGUCUUGUAAUUGGGAUGAGUAUAAUUUAAACCGCAUUACGAGUAUCAAUU
This 521-nucleotide ribosomal RNA is filed under the name uncultured eukaryote. RNAcentral's name for it is "SSU rRNA". It matches the Rfam family "Eukaryotic small subunit ribosomal RNA", at positions 21 to 549 of the family's 1831-position model. The record is from RNAcentral.